This 176-nucleotide unclassified non-coding RNA is filed under the name Chlamydiales bacterium ON270911-4. Its description in RNAcentral is "16S-23S ribosomal RNA intergenic spacer". The record is from RNAcentral. Lineage: Bacteria; Pseudomonadati; Chlamydiota; Chlamydiia; Chlamydiales.
AAGAAACCGUAAGGUUAAUUCCUUAGGUUGAGACAAGGUUCUGUAGUGUUUCUUGUUCUAUUUCUUUCUAUCAACUGUUGAAAAAUAGUUAAGAAAAAUCGAGUCAAGUUUCUGAUCCGAAACUAAAAAUUUAAGAUCAGCGCUUGAGAAAUAAUCUUCAAGAUUAUGGCGAUAAA